GUAUCUCUUCAGUAGCACAUAUAUUAAGAUUAAAUAACACCCCGGUAAGCAUGGCCCCUGCACAAUGAAGGCAUGCAAACAUAUGAAGUGUUCCAUAUUUUU
This 102-nucleotide small nuclear RNA is filed under the name Nannospalax galili (Upper Galilee mountains blind mole rat). Lineage: Eukaryota; Metazoa; Chordata; Mammalia; Rodentia; Spalacidae. The record is from RNAcentral.